GCCUGCCCUGUGACUGUAAGUUUAACGGCCGCGGUAUUAUGACCGUGCAAAGGUAGCGUAAUCACUUGUCUCUUAAAUGGGGACCUGUAUGAAUGGCAUAACGAGGGCUUGACUGUCUCCUUUUUCAAGUCAAUGAAAUUGAUCUCCCCGUGCAGAAGCGGGGAUAACUACAUAAGACGAGAAGACCCUGUGGAGCUUUAGACACCAAGGCAGAUCAUGGUAAACACCCCCAAAUAAGGGACCAAACUAAAUGAACCCUACCCCUAUGUCUUUGGUUGGGGCGACCAUGGGGUAAAACAUAACCCCCACGCGGAAAGGGAGCACCUCCUCCUACAGCUAAGAGCCUCCGCUCCAAUAAACAGAAUUUCUGACCACAUAGAUCCGGUAAAACCGAUCAACGGACCAAGUUACCCCAGGGAUAACAGCGCAAUCCUCUUUUAGAGCCCAUAUCGACAAGGGGGUUUACGACCUCGAUGUUGGAUCAGGACAUCCUAAUGGUGCAGCCGCUAUUAAGGGUUCGUUUGUUCAACGAUUAAAGUCCUACGUGAU
RNAcentral lists this ribosomal RNA (549 nucleotides) under Pomadasys olivaceus (olive grunt). RNAcentral's name for it is "partial 16S ribosomal RNA". It matches the Rfam family "Bacterial large subunit ribosomal RNA", at positions 1857 to 2604 of the family's 2925-position model. Lineage: Eukaryota; Metazoa; Chordata; Actinopteri; Lutjaniformes; Haemulidae. The record is from RNAcentral.